GAUGAAGAACGCAGCGAAAUGCGAUAAGUAAUGUGAAUUGCAGAAUUCAGUGAAUCAUCGAAUCUUUGAACGCACAUUGCGCCCCUUGGUAUUCCGAGGGGCAUGCCUGUUCGAGCGUCAUUAUAACCCCUCAAGCUCAGCUUGGUGUUGGGGCCUGCCGCACGGGCAGCCCUUAAAAUCAGUGGCGGUGCCAUCUGGCUCUAAGCGUAGUAAUUCUUCUCGCUAUAGAGUCCUGGUGGAUGCUUGCCAUUAACCCCCAAUUUUCUAUGGUUGACCUCGGAUCAGGUAGGGAUACCCGCUGAACUUAAGCAUAUCAAUAAGCGGAGGA
RNAcentral lists this unclassified non-coding RNA (328 nucleotides) under soil metagenome. Its description in RNAcentral is "partial contains 5.8S ribosomal RNA, internal transcribed spacer 2, and large subunit ribosomal RNA". The stretch from base 1 to 120 matches the Rfam family "5.8S ribosomal RNA", at positions 35 to 154 of the family's 154-position model. The record is from RNAcentral.